This 331-nucleotide ribosomal RNA is filed under the name uncultured eukaryote. RNAcentral's name for it is "partial 18S ribosomal RNA". It matches the Rfam family "Eukaryotic small subunit ribosomal RNA", at positions 1470 to 1796 of the family's 1831-position model. The record is from RNAcentral.
CCCUUAGAUGUUCUGGGCCGCACGCGCGCUACACUGUUCGACGCAGCGAGUCUUAACCUUGACCGAAAGGUUUGGGUAAUCUUCAGCAAAGUCGAACGUGAUGGGGAUCGAUCAUUGCAAUUAUUGAUCGUGAACGAGGAAUUCCUAGUAAGUGCAAGUCAUCAGCUUGCGCUGAUUACGUCCCUUCCCUUUGUACACACCGCCCGUCGCUACUACCGAUUGAAUGGUUUAGUGAGAUCUCUGGAUUGACGCUGGCUAGGGGGCGACCCUUGGCCAGGCUGUCGAGAAACUGCUCAAACUUGAUCAUUUAGAGGAAGUAAAAGUCGUAACA